UGCCAAAUUCCUUCUUCACUUCACUCACGCUGCUCUUCUGGUUCAGUUCACUUCUCGUCGUCCUCCGCUUCGGCUGACCUCUCCUCCACUCCCACCACCACUUAUCGACAGACUUAUCUUCCUCCCUUCCCCCCUCACCACCACUAUUUCCCCCCUCAACAACCGACUCCAAUGUCACGACAAGUGAGAGGAGGAGGAGGAGGAGGCGGAGAUGAUGGACGGGCGGAUCGAGAAAAUCAGCCUCAGCGACUCCAAAUGAAACAGUUGCCGCAAAAAGGAUCAGCUCAACCGCAGCCACCCCGUUAUCCUGGCUCUGGCCCCUCAACAGUUGUACGGGCUGGGGGUGGUGGUGGUCAAGCUGCAGCAGCAGCCGGAGCGGCAGCCGCGGCCGCACCACCGCCACCAUCAAACCCCACGUCCCAGUCGACGCAAGAAAUCCCCACGGUUAUCCGGGACGUCAGCACGGGCAAUGCCUACGCCAGGGGGAAACUGCUGGGAAAGGGUGGUUUUGCGAGGUGUUUCGAAGUACAGCAGUCUAAGACGAGGCAAGUGGUGGCGUGCAAAAUUGUCAAUAAAGAACUCUUGAUCAAACCUCACCAGCGAGACAAGAUGAUCCAGGAAAUUACUAUCCAUCGAAAACUCAGGCACGAGUUCAUUGUCAAGUUCCUCUCCCAUUUUGAGGAUGAUUCUAACGUUUACAUAACUCUGGAGCUUUGUAGUAAGAAGAGUCUGAUGGAACUCCAGAAACGGAGGAGGAUCCUUACUGAACCGGAGGCGAAAUACUUUUUGCGUCAGAUUGCCGUAGCCGUCCAAUACUUGCAUGAAGACAUGCACAUCAUUCAUCGAGAUCUCAAGCUGGGUAAUAUCUUCAUUUCAGAAGAUAUGAAAUUGAAAAUUGGCGAUUUUGGUCUUGCGACCACAGUGGACUUUGAGGGGGAAAGGAAAAAGACGCUUUGCGGUACGCCAAACUACAUUGCACCCGAAGUUUUGGGUAAAAAGGGGCACAGCUAUCAAGUGGACAUUUGGUCAAUUGGGUGUAUUCUGUACACCUUGCUCAUUGGACGACCUCCCUUUGAAACUGCCACACUGCGCGACACCUACCAAAAGAUUCGUCGUGGGGAGUACAUCUUUCCACAAAAUGUGAAGAUCGGUCACCCCGCGAAGAACCUAUUGCACAAAAUGCUCCAAGUAAAUCCGGACCUUCGCCCAUCUGCUAGGCAAAUCAUUUCAAAUGAAUUCAUUCUUUGUGGAUUUAUGCCCACCGUUCUGCCACUUUCCGUCCUGACCAUGGCGCCACGUUUUGAUUUCCCAAAAACUGCCCAGCCCAGUUCCACCGCUCCAGCGGCUGCUGGGGCCGCGCCGCCUGAUACGCUUGCACCAACCGGCCAACCGAAGAAGCCACUCACGGAGAGCAAUCAACCUCGGACCGGAAGUGAUGGCGACGCACCACUACCACCCACUCAGCCUUCUGUCCCUCGUACCAUUAUUGGUCAAACGAAUUUGAUUCCUCGCGUGGGGACCCCGGUCGAAAAUGCCAACAAUAAUAUUGUUUCUGCCGGAGAACUUGACAACAUGGACAUGGUGGAGUACAUGAAGAAUUUGAGGGAUCAGUUGAAGCGAAUUAUUGAACUUGAACCUCGCACCACGCUGGAUGAUAACGAGGCCGAAGAACCAGCUCUCUCUCCGUUCCUCUGGAUUUGCAAGUGGGUCGACUACUCGGACAAGUACGGAUUCGGGUACAACUUGUGCGAUGACACGGUCGGUGUAAGCUUUAAUGAUAACUCAAAAAUUAUCCUGCUCUCGGAUGCGCGCAGUAUGCAUUACAUUGAGAAAGAGGGAGUCGAAUCAUACUACUCACUUGAUCAGUAUCCCAACGACCUUUCCAAGAAGGUCAAACUGCUCAAGUACUUUCAACAGUAUAUGAAGGACAAUUUGAUGAAAGCCACCGGAGAUCACAAACCUCUCCCGCCCAACUGCAUCGCCCGCGUCCCCAACAUGUGGACAUGGUUCCGCACUUCACGCUCCGUCGUCAUGGUUCUUUCUAGCGGCACCAUACAAAUCAACAAUUUCCGCGAUCACACCAAGAUGAUUUUGUGCCCUAUGCUCGGCGCCAUCACCACUCUAGGUCCCUCGAAACACAUGCGCACCUACAAAAUCGCCAGUAUGGACAAGGGCCUCUCGAGCGCUAUGUUGGAACGGCUUACGUACGCCUUGGAGAAGGUAAUUGUCAUCAUUUCGCGCGGUAUAGAGAAAAUCGAGCUGCAACAGCAAGAAAUUUGUAAUAAUCUUGACGCUAAACCUGUUACUGGGGACGAAUUGAAUCGUCCCAACCCUAAUUAAUUUAUUACCUAUGUAAUUUCAACCAAAACGUUCGCGCGCGCGCUGCCGCCGCCGCUGCACACAAAAACAAUCAUUUAUAGACUCAUCCAAAUGCGCUGCUGCCGCUGCCGCUGUCGCUUCUGCUGCAAUUAUUUAUAAGUCGUACCACAUUAUACUAUUGUAUUUAUUUACUAAUUACUUUAAUUAUUUAUUACUUAUUUAUCCUCCUACUCGGCCUAACAGUAAGAGGUGGCCCUAAACCGACUGAGAUUUGACUAGCCUAUCAUUAUAAUUACCAUAAUUAUUAUUAUUAUUAUUAUUAUUAUCAUUUCUUCUCUUCACAUCUCGCCAGUUGGAAAUGAUCUUCUUUCUCCAUAAGGAAGUAUUUCCACAAAUUGAGCGAACCGUUACCCCCAAGGCCCAACAACAAGAAUCUUCUCCCAUUUUGGAUAUGAAUCUAUUGACCUUGCUACGCAGAAGGUUGAGGUUAUCAUCGGCAACCAUAUGAAAAACAACAGCUUCAUCAACAACGUAAUGGAAUCGCCCGCAAAAUUAUCCGUGAAAAAGAAGCAGUGUCACUAAUUGGUGUUCAGUAAUAUUUAUUUUUUCUAAAUUAAUCGCUGCGUCGAUUUCAAAAGUCAUGUGUAAUCCAAUCGGCAUUUUAUAUGUUUCUAUACAAAACGAUGUUGUUAAUUGUCUAUCCAAUCCAAAAUUUAUCGUCGAUUUCAAAGUCAUAGGAACUUUUAUAUCAUGUUUUUUAUCCUUGUACACAAAAGUAUUUUGUUAACUAUGUCUCCAACCCAAAAUUUAUUAUGGUACUUUAAAAAAUCCAUUAUAUUAAUCUGUCUAAAGGACAAAAUUGGUAUAUUAAAAUGUCUCUGGAGAAUUGUGUUUGGAUGUCGAUUUAAUUUAUAGUACUGAUGACGAGAAGGUGGGGUCUGAAUAGUUUUAAAUAUAACUUAACCUAAUUUUAAUGAUUAAUGAUAUUACUAUUAUUUACCGAUAAGCUUACUUUUAUACUGAAUAUGUUAUCUUAAAGGGUCAGUUUAUCCAUCGAUAUGCCCAUAGUUAACUAUUGUUCGUUCAAAAAAAUAGAGACACAGAAAAUCUGUCUAGUUAUCUGGCAGAAUUUCUUUAAAAAAAUAAUAAUUUAGAAAAAUAUAAGUACUUUCUCUCUAUUUUUUUGAACGAACCGUAGUCGUGGGUUUUAUACCGAUAGAUAAGCCGACUUCUUGAUAAGCAACAACCCUUUUUUAAAAAUAAUGUGGUAUGCAAAAGACGCGCAGUGAGAAAUAAACCAAUUUUAUAAUUUUGGAAGAUAUACACAAUCCACA
Folsomia candida is the source of this 3653-nucleotide RNA transcript. It is a transcript of the gene named serine/threonine-protein kinase PLK1, with no coding region annotated. The transcript is spliced from 11 exons. The record is from RefSeq and is a predicted model, not a curated record. NCBI's taxonomy places the organism in Eukaryota, Metazoa, Arthropoda, Collembola, Entomobryomorpha, Isotomidae.